RNAcentral lists this ribosomal RNA (746 nucleotides) under uncultured bacterium. Its description in RNAcentral is "bacterial SSU rRNA". It matches the Rfam family "Bacterial small subunit ribosomal RNA", at positions 33 to 773 of the family's 1533-position model. The record is from RNAcentral.
ACGCUGGCGGCAGGCCUAACACAUGCAAGUCGAGCGGUAGAGAGAAGCUUGCUUCUCUUGAGAGCGGCGGACGGGUGAGUAAUGCCUAGGAAUCUGCCUGGUAGUGGGGGAUAACGUUCGGAAACGGACGCUAAUACCGCAUACGUCCUACGGGAGAAAGCAGGGGACCUUCGGGCCCUUGCGCUAUCAGAUGAGCCUAGGUCGGAUUAGCUAGUUGGCGAGGUAAUGGCUCACCAAGGCAACGAUCCGUAACUGGUCUGAGAGGAUGAUCAGUCACACUGGGACUGAGACACGGUCCAGACUCCUACGGGAGGCAGCAGUGGGGAAUAUUGGACAAUGGGCGAAAGCCUGAUCCAGCCAUGCCGCGUGUGUGAAGAAGGUCUUCGGAUUGUAAAGCACUUUAAGUUGGGAGGAAGGGCAUUAACCUAAUACGUUAGUGUUUUGACGUUACCGACAGAAUAAGCACCGGCUAACUCUGUGCCAGCAGCCGCGGUAAUACAGAGGGUGCAAGCGUUAAUCGGAAUUACUGGGCGUAAAGCGCGCGUAGGUGGUUUGUUAAGUUGGAUGUGAAAUCCCCGGGCUCAACCUGGGAACUGCAUUCAAAACUGACUGACUAGAGUAUGGUAGAGGGUGGUGGAAUUCCAUGUGUAGCGGUGAAAUGCGUAGAUAUAUGGAGGAACACCGGUGGCGAAAGCGGCUCUCUGGCCUGUAACUGACACUGAGGCUCGAAAGCGUGGGGAGCAAAC